AAUCAACGCUGGCGGCGUGCCUCAGACAUGCAAGUCGAACGAUUAAAGCUCUCUUCGGAGAGUGCAUAGAGUGGCGCACGGGUGAGUAACACGUAAGUAAUCUACCCUCGAGUGGGGAAUAACGUCCGGAAACGGACGCUAAUACCGCAUAAUGCAGCGGCACCGCAAGGUGACAGUCGUUAAAGAUUUAUCGCUUGAGGAGGAGCUUGCGGCAGAUUAGCUAGUUGGUAAGGUAAUGGCUUACCAAGGCUACGAUCUGUAACCGGUCUUAGAGGACGGUCGGUCACACUGACACUGAAUAACGGGUCAGACUCCUACGGGAGGCAGCAGUCGGGAAUUUUGGGCAAUGGGCGAAAGCCUGACCCAGCAACGCCGCGUGAAGGAUGAAGUAUUUCGGUAUGUAAACUUCGAAGAAUAGGAAGAAUAAAUGACGGUACUAUUUAUAAGGUCCGGCUAACUACGUG
RNAcentral lists this ribosomal RNA (464 nucleotides) under uncultured bacterium. RNAcentral describes it as "bacterial SSU rRNA". It matches the Rfam family "Bacterial small subunit ribosomal RNA", at positions 32 to 507 of the family's 1533-position model. The record is from RNAcentral.